GAUGAACGCUGGCGGCGUGCCUAAUACAUGCAAGUCGAGCGAACAGACGAGGAGCUUGCUCCUUUGACGUUAGCGGCGGACGGGUGAGUAACACGUGGAUAACCUACCUAUAAGACUGGGAUAACUUCGGGAAACCGGAGCUAAUACCGGAUAACAUGUUGAACCGCAUGGUUCAACAGUGAAAGACGGUCUUGCUGUCACUUAUAGAUGGAUCCGCGCCGCAUUAGCUAGUUGGUAAGGUAACGGCUUACCAAGGCAACGAUGCGUAGCCGACCUGAGACGGUGAUCGGCCACACUGGAACUGAGACACGGUCCAGACUCCUACGGGAGGCAGCAGUAGGGAAUCUUCCGCAAUGGGCGAAAGCCUGACGGAGCAACGCCGCGUGAGUGAAGAAGGUCUUCGGAUCGUAAAACUCUGUUAUUAGGGAAGAACAAAUGUGUAAGUAACUAUGCACGUCUUGACGGUACCUAAUCAGAAAGCCACGGCUAACUACGUG
This 497-nucleotide ribosomal RNA is filed under the name uncultured bacterium. Its description in RNAcentral is "partial 16S ribosomal RNA". It matches the Rfam family "Bacterial small subunit ribosomal RNA", at positions 28 to 507 of the family's 1533-position model. The record is from RNAcentral.